Molecule: long non-coding RNA, 1301 nt
Organism: Aedes aegypti (yellow fever mosquito)
Lineage: Eukaryota; Metazoa; Arthropoda; Insecta; Diptera; Culicidae
Exons: 3
Source: RefSeq, a predicted model, not a curated record
UAAUACAAAACGUAAAAAGUUUAAAUCUAAAACUGCUCUGUAUUUCUUAAAACAUAAACAUAGGUCAGUUUGAGAAUUAAACUUAUUCGGUAUAACAAUUUAAACUAGACGUGAAUAACCUGUGACAAUUUUUAUCAGUGUAUUCAUAUUUUCGAGUUGAUCGGCGGAUGUAAACAAAAACAGAUUCGGUUUCGUUUUCAAACGGGCAUUUCGUGAAAAAAUACAAAUUUUCAUUUCGGCAAUGUGGAUUCCGGAGAAAUACAUUCGGAUAUAUGAGGAGGAUCACCAGAUGAACAAACAAGAACAUGUUGAAUGAUGAUGCGCACCUUCAGCAGUUCGGAUUCGACGAUAUGGACAUCAAGGGCACCGAACUGGCCACCGUUUCAAACUCGUCCUAACCGGCAGGAGAGAAAUUACCCUCGAUCAUAGCCUAGUGGUAUCGGUUCAAUCAGUACCAGUACAAUGUCAACAGUGAUAGACGCAAAUCGGUCUUCAUCACCGGAAUGUCCACCGCAAAGAUUGAUCCGCGAACAGUUACUAUCUCCGACGCUAUCGGUGUUCUUCGAGAAAAGGAAACACGCGUACAGUCUUCAGCUGCAGGAGUUCUGCCUGAAACAACAGAUCGCUGUAGUCGACAACUGGGUGCGGCACUCAACCGGAUCUGGCAAUAUUCUCGACCAAGACGGUGGUGACUAAUUCGGAUCAGAGCAUGGUGCAAUGCGCCAGUCUGUGGACGAAAAUAGACCAGUCGAUGGAAUCCAAGGUGUGGCCUUCAUCUCGUACUGACCACCAUUGCGAAACAUGUCCAGUACUAGACAUCCAAAUUCCCUGACAAGAUCAAGGUUCCUGUCCGGUAUUUUUUUCAUGCAUGAAGUUUCUGAAGAUCCUAUUGUGAGACACACAAUCGCUACCAGCCCUGGACCUUCCAAUUCUUCAACAGGAGGAACAAGACAAGUUGGCCGGCAUCGCUAAGCACCAACUCCUAUUCAGAAUCGAAGGAUUCAUCAACGGCAAGCGGAAUGAAUGGAAAAACAGCAACAAAAUGCUCACUGCAGAAGGAAUGUUUACGUCUCAAUGAACGCAAAUAAAUUAUCAAGUACGGGAACUUCAGGAACCUCCUCCGUCCGCCCGGGUUGGGACCGCGGCCAAUAUGAUCUCGCAUGUGGGUCGUAGUUGAACUUGAAGGUACCAGGUGAACUUGAAGGUACCAGAACUGCCGGCCAUCACACCGGGGUGACAUUUAAUCCCGUUAGCAUUCAGUAAAGCAAUCUUCAUUAAUAAAACAUAUAUUUUUGAACGAA